AGCUUUGCACAGUUGGCAGUAUUAUAGCCAAUGAGGUUUAUCCGCGGUAUGAUUAUUGCUAAUUGAAAACUCUUCCGAAUACCCUGCCGUGAUGAUUUGAAAUACAGCGGCAUUGGCAAUUUUUGACAGUCUCUACAGAGA
RNAcentral lists this small nuclear RNA (141 nucleotides) under Physeter macrocephalus (sperm whale). RNAcentral describes it as "Physeter catodon (sperm whale) U4 spliceosomal RNA (ENSPCTG00005003160.1)". It matches the Rfam family "U4 spliceosomal RNA". Rfam says of the family: U4 small nuclear RNA (U4 snRNA) is a component of the major U2-dependent spliceosome. The structure of U4 snRNA from yeast and human has been reported. Lineage: Eukaryota; Metazoa; Chordata; Mammalia; Artiodactyla; Physeteridae. The record is from Rfam by way of RNAcentral.